Molecule: long non-coding RNA, 1458 nt
Filed under: Equus caballus (horse)
Lineage: Eukaryota; Metazoa; Chordata; Mammalia; Perissodactyla; Equidae
Description: lncRNA (ENSECAG00000047540.1)
Source: RNAcentral
UUAUAUUUUAGCCUUUCUCUUGUGAAAGAUUCUGUGAAUAUUUUCUCAUGCUCUUUGGGGGAGAACUUGUGCUGACUCCAGAUGCCUUGAGAUCUGAGAUGAUAGGAAUCCAGGAGCCCUGCUGUCCAAACCGCAUUGCCUGUCAGGAGCUCAGACUUUGCUGCUGCUGCCACUUUCGUAGGGGCUCCCUCCAGAAGGAGGGAAAUCCUCCUCAUUUCCAGUCUCCGCCAGAGUCUCCCUUCCAUGGAUUCUCUCUGAGGACAGCUGGACAGGGAGUGUGGAGAAGACUGGAGUGUGCAGACUCCUGGCUCGCUGCAACAGCAGGGAAGGCAGAGAGGGGUGGAAAUGGAGCUGGAAGGGAAUGGCCAACGAACAGACCGGUCUUCAAAACACUCACCUUCCCUUGAAAUGUUUUCCUUCCCUUAACGUGUUUUCCAUGUCGUUAAAUAUUCUUCCACAAUUAAUGGCUGCAUCACAGUCUCUAUUAAUUAUUAAUGCUCUGGUUAUUAAGUUUGUUUGCUGUCUUUCUUAGUGUCCAUUUUCCUUAAUUUCUUUGAAAUUUUCGUUUGAAGGUUUAUCUUAUGUGAGAGUUUCCAUCCUCCUUUCCUCCAAGCCUCCUUGCCUAUGAAUUUUUCUGUUGCCUCCAUCAUCGCUCCCUCCACUGUCUCUAGCCCAGGGCAUGGUCUUAGUUGGUGGCUUGGGCUCCUGCCCCUUGGUGACUGGAGAUAUCGGAGAUCCAGUCAUUGAGCUGGCAAAGGCUAACACUGUCCUUGCUUCCAGUUUAGGAAGGACACCUUGCUCUGUCACCCCACACAAGUCCCACUCUGGACUGCUCGAGGCUUCAGCUCCUGCGUGUUGCUACAGGUUAUCUAUUAUCCUGCUUUUGUAUAUGACUAUGACUCUUCUCUCCAUAUAAAAAAAAUCUAUCAUUGCUAGGUUUACGGUAGAGAGAGAAAUGUAAAGCAUGAAUGUAUAGUGUCAUAGUAAUGAUAAAUCUGUCUUAAUAAAUUUAGUUGAUUUGCUUGGGUUUUCUAGGUAAAUAAUCAUAUUACCCAAGAAUAACAAGAACUGGAGCCACCGUUUAAUCAGUACUCACUGAAUGGCAGGCACACUCUGCCAAGUGCUUCGUCUACACGUCAGGACUUGGAAAUGGGCGAAGAAGAUUACGGUGUCUUUCAGUGGAGUGCUGGGCACUGUCCAGGAGACCCUCAGGGGAUUAUCUGACUCCAGGAAUGUGCGUGUUUAAUUGACCUUCUUUUGACUAGAUUAUUUUACAGCUCUGUAGGGGUAGCUGUUAAAGUGUGAGAAACAAAUAGCAAUGCAAAUCAUUCCUGUUCACACCAAUGCAAAUGAAUUUUGACUGAUAGAUUAUAAAGUUUGUGAGUCAAACUCUCAUUUGAACAGGUUGUACCAUCUUAUUGGUUCCCUCAGUAAUUAAAGAGUUGAAUAAAAUCUUUG